CUUACUGAGAGUUCUUUGGCAUUCUGUCCACCUCCUUGUCGAAUCCUCAGAGACAGAAAUCUCAUAUCUGUUGAUCUUGGAGGUGGGCAUACUGCCAAUGGAGCUGUGUAGG
Non-coding RNA from Oryza glaberrima (African rice), 112 nucleotides. The record is from Rfam. NCBI's taxonomy places the organism in Eukaryota, Viridiplantae, Streptophyta, Magnoliopsida, Poales, Poaceae.